This 252-nucleotide ribosomal RNA is filed under the name uncultured bacterium. RNAcentral's name for it is "partial 16S ribosomal RNA". It matches the Rfam family "Bacterial small subunit ribosomal RNA", at positions 524 to 775 of the family's 1533-position model. The record is from RNAcentral.
UACGUAGGUGGCAAGCGUUGUCCGGAAUUAUUGGGCGUAAAGCGCGCGCAGGCGGUCCUUUAAGUCUGAUGUGAAAGCCCACGGCUCAACCGUGGAGGGUCAUUGGAAACUGGGGGACUUGAGUGCAGAAGAGGAAAGCGGAAUUCCACGUGUAGCGGUGAAAUGCGUAGAGAUGUGGAGGAACACCAGUGGCGAAGGCGGCUUUCUGGUCUGUAACUGACGCUGAGGCGCGAAAGCGUGGGGAGCAACAGG